This 1440-nucleotide ribosomal RNA is filed under the name uncultured bacterium. Its description in RNAcentral is "bacterial SSU rRNA". It matches the Rfam family "Bacterial small subunit ribosomal RNA". The record is from RNAcentral.
AGAGUUUGAUCAUGGCUCAGAACGUACGCUGGCGGCACGCCUAAUACAUGCAAGUCGAACGAAGUAGCAAUACUUAGUGGCAGACGGGUGAGUAACAUGUGGGUAUCUUCCCUUUGGUGAGGAAUAACACGAGGAAACUUGUGCUAAUACCUCAUAAGUCUUUACAGAGAAAGCUUUAUGCGCCGAUGGAUGAGCCUGCACUUGAUUAGUUUGUUGGUAGGGUAAUGGCCUACCAAGACAAUGAUCAAUAGCUGAUUUGAGAGGAUGAUCAGCCACAUUGGGACUGAGACACGGCCCAAACUCCUACGGGAGGCAGCAGUAGGGAAUCUUGCACAAUGGGGGAAACCCUGAUGCAGCGAUGCCGCGUGAGUGAAGAAGGCCUUUGGGUUGUAAAGCUCUUUCGUCGGGGAAGAAAAUGACUGUACCCGAAUAAGAAGGUCCGGCUAACUUCGUGCCAGCAGCCGCGGUAAUACGAAGGGACCUAGCGUAGUUCGGAAUUACUGGGCUUAAAGAGUUCGUAGGUGGUUAAAAUAGUUGGUGGUGAAAUCCCAAGGCUUAACCUUGGAACUGCCAUCAAAACUUUUUAGCUAGAGUGUGAUAGAGGUAAGUGGAAUUUCUAGUGUAGAGGUGAAAUUCGUAGAUAUUAGAAAGAACACCAAAUGCGAAGGCAACUUACUGGGUCACUACUGACACUGAGGAGCGAAAGCAUGGGUAGCGAAGAGGAUUAGAUACCCUCGUAGUCCAUGCCGUAAACGAUGUGUGCUAGACGUUGGAAAUAUAUUUUUCAGUGUCGCAGCGAAAGCAUUAAGCACACCGCCUGGGGAGUACGACCGCAAGGUUAAAACUCAAAUGAAUUGACGGGGACCCGCACAAGCAGUGGAGCAUGUGGUUUAAUUCGAAGAUACGCGCAGAACCUUACCAACACUUGACAUGUUCGUCGCGAGCCUAAGAGAUUAGGCUUUUCAGUUUGGCUGGACGAAACACAGGUGCUGCAUGGCUGUCGUCAGCUCGUGUCGUGAGAUGUUGGGUUAAGUCCCGCAACGAGCGCAACCCUUACUUUUAGUUGCCAUCAUUAAGUUGGGCACUCUGAAAGAACUGCCAGUGAUAAGCUGGAGGAAGGUGGGGAUGACGUCAAGUCCUCAUGGCCCUUACGUGUUGGGCUACACACGUGCUACAAUGGUAUCUACAACAGGAAGCAAAACGGCGACGUUAAGCAAAUCCUUAAAAGAUACCUCAGUUCGGAUUGCACUCUGCAACUCGAGUGCAUGAAGCUGGAAUUACUAGUAAUCGUGGAUCAGCGUGCCACGGUGAAUGCGUUCCCGGGUCUUGUACACACCGCCCGUCACACCAUGGGAGUUGGUUCUACCUUAAGGCAAGGUUUUAAACCCUUGACCACGGUAUAGUCAGCGACUGGGGUGAAGUCGUAACAAGGUAGCCGUA